This 552-nucleotide ribosomal RNA is filed under the name Fusarium sp. Its description in RNAcentral is "eukaryotic LSU rRNA". The stretch from base 182 to 335 matches the Rfam family "5.8S ribosomal RNA". Lineage: Eukaryota; Fungi; Ascomycota; Sordariomycetes; Hypocreales; Nectriaceae. The record is from RNAcentral.
ACCCCCCGCUUGGUGACAAGCGGAGGGACAUUACCGAGUUUACAACUCCCAAACCCCUGUGAACAUACCACUUGUUGCCUCGGCGGAUCAGCCCGCUCCCGGUAAAACGGGACGGCCCGCCAGAGGACCCCUAAACUCUGUUUCUAUAUGUAACUUCUGAGUAAAACCAUAAAUAAAUCAAAACUUUCAACAACGGAUCUCUUGGUUCUGGCAUCGAUGAAGAACGCAGCAAAAUGCGAUAAGUAAUGUGAAUUGCAGAAUUCAGUGAAUCAUCGAAUCUUUGAACGCACAUUGCGCCCGCCAGUAUUCUGGCGGGCAUGCCUGUUCGAGCGUCAUUUCAACCCUCAAGCACAGCUUGGUGUUGGGACUCGCGUUAAUUCGCGUUCCUCAAAUUGAUUGGCGGUCACGUCGAGCUUCCAUAGCGUAGUAGUAAAACCCUCGUUACUGGUAAUCGUCGCGGCCACGCCGUUAAACCCCAACUUCUGAAUGUUGACCUCGGAUCAGGUAGGAAUACCCGCUGAACUUAAGCAUAUCAAUAGGGGGGAGGGGAAA